This 433-nucleotide ribosomal RNA is filed under the name uncultured bacterium. RNAcentral describes it as "partial 16S ribosomal RNA". It matches the Rfam family "Bacterial small subunit ribosomal RNA", at positions 29 to 507 of the family's 1533-position model. The record is from RNAcentral.
AGCGAACGCUGGCGGCAGGCCUAACACAUGCAAGUCGAACGAACUCUUCGGAGUUAGUGGCGGACGGGUGAGUAACACGUGGGAACGUGCCUUUUGGUUCGGAAUAACUCAGGGAAACUUGUGCUAAUACCGAAUGUGCCCUUCGGGGGAAAGAUUUAUCGCCAUUAGAGCGGCCCGCGUCUGAUUAGCUAGUUGGUGAGGUAACGGCUCACCAAGGCGACGAUCAGUAGCUGGUCUGAGAGGAUGACCAGCCACACUGGGACUGAGACACGGCCCAGACUCCUACGCGAGGCAGCAGUGGGGGAUCUUGCGCAAUGGGCGAAAGCCUGACGCAGCCAUGCCGCGUGAAUGAUGAAGGUCUUAGGAUUGUAAAAUUCUUUCACCGGGGACGAUAAUGACGGUACCCGGAGAAGAAGCCCCGGCUAACUUCGUG